UAGUUAACGGUAGGUGGAGCAUAAACC
This 27-nucleotide non-coding RNA is filed under the name Bombyx mori (domestic silkworm). Lineage: Eukaryota; Metazoa; Arthropoda; Insecta; Lepidoptera; Bombycidae. The record is from RNAcentral.